Molecule: ribosomal RNA, 384 nt
Filed under: Enterobacter cloacae
Lineage: Bacteria; Pseudomonadati; Pseudomonadota; Gammaproteobacteria; Enterobacterales; Enterobacteriaceae
Also listed under: 1 other name
Description: bacterial SSU rRNA
Rfam family: Bacterial small subunit ribosomal RNA
Source: RNAcentral
UGCCAGUGAUAAACUGGAGGAAGGUGGGGAUGACGUCAAGUCAUCAUGGCCCUUACGACCAGGGCUACACACGUGCUACAAUGGCGCAUACAAAGAGAAGCGACCUCGCGAGAGCAAGCGGACCUCAUAAAGUGCGUCGUAGUCCGGAUUGGAGUCUGCAACUCGACUCCAUGAAGUCGGAAUCGCUAGUAAUCGUAGAUCAGAAUGCUACGGUGAAUACGUUCCCGGGCCUUGUACACACCGCCCGUCACACCAUGGGAGUGGGUUGCAAAAGAAGUAGGUAGCUUAACCUUCGGGAGGGCGCUUACCACUUUGUGAUUCAUGACUGGGGUGAAGUCGUAACAAGGUAACCGUAGGGGAACCUGCGGUUGGAUCACCUCCUUA